AUUCCCACUCAGCAGCACAUUUACUAAAAUUGGAACGAUACAGAGAAGAUUAGCAUGGCCCCUGCACUGUGGGUGUUUUAUAUUGUAAAUGGCUUUGCCCUCUGCCA
This is a small nuclear RNA of Mus caroli (Ryukyu mouse), 107 nucleotides long. The record is from RefSeq and is a predicted model, not a curated record. NCBI's taxonomy places the organism in Eukaryota, Metazoa, Chordata, Mammalia, Rodentia, Muridae.